RNAcentral lists this ribosomal RNA (656 nucleotides) under Salmonella enterica. RNAcentral's name for it is "partial 23S ribosomal RNA". It matches the Rfam family "Bacterial large subunit ribosomal RNA", at positions 1 to 688 of the family's 2925-position model. RNAcentral also lists the same sequence under 1 other name. The record is from RNAcentral. Lineage: Bacteria; Pseudomonadati; Pseudomonadota; Gammaproteobacteria; Enterobacterales; Enterobacteriaceae.
GGGUUGUGAGGUUAAGCGACUAAGCGUACACGGUGGAUGCCCUGGCAGUCAGAGGCGAUGAAGGGCGUGCUAAUCUGCGAUAAGCGCCGGUAAGGUGAUAUGAACCGUUAUAACCGGCGAUACCCGAAUGGGGAAACCCAGUGUGACUCGUCACACUAUCAUUAACUGAAUCCAUAGGUUAAUGAGGCGAACCGGGGGAACUGAAACAUCUAAGUACCCCGAGGAAAAGAAAUCAACCGAGAUUCCCCCAGUAGCGGCGAGCGAACGGGGAGGAGCCCAGAGCCUGAAUCAGCAUGUGUGUUAGUGGAAGCGUCUGGAAAGGCGCGCGAUACAGGGUGAUAGCCCCGUACACAAAAGCGCAUGUGUUGUGAGCUCGAUGAGUAGGGCGGGACACGUGGUAUCCUGUCUGAAUAUGGGGGGACCAUCCUCCAAGGCUAAAUACUCCUGACUGACCGAUAGUGAACCAGUACCGUGAGGGAAAGGCGAAAAGAACCCCGGCGAGGGGAGUGAAAAAGAACCUGAAACCGUGUACGUACAAGCAGUGGGAGCACAGGUUUACCUGUGUGACUGCGUACCUUUUGUAUAAUGGGUCAGCGACUUAUAUUCUGUAGCAAGGUUAACCGAAUAGGGGAGCCGGAGGGAAACCGAGUCUUAAU